UUCUAUGAUAAAAAAUAAAUUUAAAUUGCCUCUUAUUUUAAAGAGAGUCUACAAAAUUUAAUUUUAAAAUAACCAUAGGAUUGCAGUCAACAGGGGAAAUAUCUUUUCUCAAAGGUACUGACCUCAAAAUUCUGGACCAAGAAGGCUCUUACAAUGCAGUUAGUUUUUUGUCAUAUUUGAAGAGAAUAUACUCACAGUUUCUCGGUCUGACUGUAUGCUUUCCAUCCAUUUCCAUCAAUGUAAGAAAUAUACUUUCCUUGGAAAUUUCUGUGAAGAAACACAGUUUAUAUCAUUGAAUAGGUAGGAAAAGAAUGGACAGGAGAAGUAAAAGAAUCCUGGCAACCUUGUCGGGGAUAUUCGGUUACAGAAAAUAACACCUGCUUUCUCAUUUCCGGAGCUAUCAGCUUCCUAAUUUGCACAAUUCAUCAAGAAGUAAUGCGGGGCCACUGGCACAAAUGAUGAGGCAUCUCCCGGAAGCUUAAUUUCCUAUCCAUCCCAUCUCUUGGACAGACAUUCCAGUUGAUUACUUUGAAUGUUCCAGCUGGCCUGGGGAUUUCUGGGAGGAUCCAAAGAACAAGGCCGUCUGCAGUAGGAGCCUCCUCUUCCUCGCCGCCAACACUUCAGCCCUGCCCAACUAACAGCUCUCCAUGUUCUAAAGAAGGCAGGACUGCUGGGCCACCCCAGCCUUCUGGAACCCCAGUUCUGCGACAUUAUCCAUCUCCUGGAAAUAUGCUGGUUUUAACCAUGCAAAUUGGCGAAGCAUCAGGCGGAAAUAGCAGCUAGGCCUGGAAGGACAGGUGACAUCUGUGAGGAAAAUGGCCGGGCGGGACUGGGUGGAGAGCAUGGGCUGUUCCCUUCCUUUCUGGGAACAGCGCCACCUUUGGGGGAACUCCUUCCCUCAUGGGGUUUUAGGCGGGGGCUGCCAGUCCCAGGACCCUGCCCCCUGUCACCCCCCAUAGUCAUAGGAACGCUUGUGCGCCAGUCACUACAUUUAGAAGUGGAAGCUCGUGGGCUGCUGAGCUUCUAACGGGAAGUCCAUGUGUGCAGGGCCAGAGGACACGGCCCAUCUGAGGCGCUAAGCUUCUGUGAAGAGGGAGUAGAAUCUGGACAGGAUUCCAGUUCCACGGUUUACCCUUUCCGCGACCCAAACACACCCUUCCCCUUCCUUCAAUUCUGAGAAGCAAUAAAUGUCCCUACUUGCGAACAAA
Long non-coding RNA from Cercocebus atys (sooty mangabey), 1208 nucleotides. RefSeq lists it as uncharacterized. The transcript is spliced from 2 exons. Lineage: Eukaryota; Metazoa; Chordata; Mammalia; Primates; Cercopithecidae. The record is from RefSeq and is a predicted model, not a curated record.